RNAcentral lists this ribosomal RNA (153 nucleotides) under Sphenodon punctatus (tuatara). RNAcentral describes it as "5.8S ribosomal RNA (ENSSPUG00000006469.1)". It matches the Rfam family "5.8S ribosomal RNA". From Rfam's summary of the family: 5.8S ribosomal RNA (5.8S rRNA) is a component of the large subunit of the eukaryotic ribosome. The record is from Rfam by way of RNAcentral. Lineage: Eukaryota; Metazoa; Chordata; Lepidosauria; Sphenodontia; Sphenodontidae.
AACAAAAAACAGUGGAUCACAUGGCUAACGCAUCAAUGAAUAAUGCAGCUAGCUGUGAGAAUUAAUGUGAACUGCCAGACACAUUGAUCAUCAACACUUUGAAAGCACUUGUGGCCCCAGAUUCCUCCCAGGGCUAAGCCUGUCUGAUCAUCA